This 233-nucleotide unclassified non-coding RNA is filed under the name plant metagenome. RNAcentral describes it as "partial contains small subunit ribosomal RNA, internal transcribed spacer 1, and 5.8S ribosomal RNA". The record is from RNAcentral.
UCUCCGUUGGUGAACCAGCGGAGGGAUCCUUACCGAGUUUUUCUAUUCCCAAACCCCUGUCAACUUAUACCUUUACCCUUGCUUCGGCGGGUUAACGCCCCGGACGGGCCAAAAGGCCGCCGGAACCAGGCGCCCGCCGGGGGACCCAAACUCUUGUAUUUCUUACUUUGCAUGUCUGAGUGGAAUCAUAAACAAAUGAAUCAAAACUUUCAACAACGGAUCUCUUGGUUCUG